This 377-nucleotide unclassified non-coding RNA is filed under the name uncultured Pseudobdellovibrionaceae bacterium. Its description in RNAcentral is "uncultured Bdellovibrionaceae bacterium contains 16S-23S intergenic spacer region". The record is from RNAcentral. Lineage: Bacteria; Pseudomonadati; Bdellovibrionota; Bdellovibrionia; Bdellovibrionales; Pseudobdellovibrionaceae.
UCACUACUUACGUAGGCAGUCUCUUUAGAGUGCCCAACUAAAUGCUGGCAACUAAAGACAAGGGUUGCGCUCGUUAUGGGACUUAACCCGACAUCUCACGACACGAGCUGACGACAGCCAUGCAGCACCUGAUACCAGUGUCCCGAAGGCCUACGAUAUCUCUACCGUAUUCACUAGCACUUCAAACCCAGGUAAGGUUUUUCGCGUUGCAUCGAAUUGAACCACAUGCUCCACCGCUUGUGCGGGCCCCCGUCAAUUUCUUUGAGUUUUAAUCUUGCGACCGUACUUCCCAGGCGGAUCACUUAACGCGUUAGCUUCGGCACUGCAGGGGUCAAUACCUGCAACACCAAGUGAUCAUCGUUUACGGCGUGGACUAC